RNAcentral lists this transfer RNA (94 nucleotides) under Halodesulfovibrio aestuarii. RNAcentral's name for it is "tRNA_Ser_GCT". It matches the Rfam family "tRNA". Rfam says of the family: Transfer RNA (tRNA) molecules are approximately 80 nucleotides in length. Their secondary structure includes four short double-helical elements and three loops (D, anti-codon, and T loops). Further hydrogen bonds mediate the characteristic L-shaped molecular structure. tRNAs have two regions of fundamental functional importance: the anti-codon, which is responsible for specific mRNA codon recognition, and the 3' end, to which the tRNAs corresponding amino acid is attached (by aminoacyl-tRNA synthetases). tRNAs cope with the degeneracy of the genetic code in two manners: having more than one tRNA (with a specific anti-codon) for a particular amino acid; and 'wobble' base-pairing, i.e. permitting non-standard base-pairing at the 3rd anti-codon position. The record is from RNAcentral. RNAcentral also lists the same sequence under 2 other names. Lineage: Bacteria; Pseudomonadati; Thermodesulfobacteriota; Desulfovibrionia; Desulfovibrionales; Desulfovibrionaceae.
GGUGAGGUGUCCGAGCUGGCCGAAGGAGCUCCCCUGCUAAGGGAGUAUACGCCUUAAAAGCGUAUCGAGAGUUCGAAUCUCUCCCUCAUCGCCA